AAUUGUUCACAAUGGGCGCAAGCCUGAUGACGCAAUGCCGCGUGGAGGAUGAAGGUCUUCGGAUUGUAAACUCCUGUUGCCAGGGACGAAUGGCUCCGACCUAAUACGUCGGAGAAUGACGGUACCUGGUGAGGGAGCCCCGGCUAACUCUGUGCCAGCAGCCGCGGUAAUACAGAGGGGGCAAGCGUUGUCCGGAUUUAUUGGGCGUAAAACGCUCGUAGGUGGCCACGUAAAGUCGGAUGUGAAAUCUCCCGGCUCAACUGGGAGGGGUCAUUCGAUACUGGCGGGCUCGAGGCCGGUAGGGGGAAGCGGAAUUCCGGGUGUAGUGGUGGAAUGCGUAGAUAUCCGGAGGAACACCAGUGGCGAAGGCGGCUUCCUGGACCGGUUCUGACACUGAGGAGCGAAAGCGUGGGGAGCGAUC
Molecule: ribosomal RNA, 421 nt
Filed under: uncultured bacterium
Lineage: Bacteria
Description: bacterial SSU rRNA
Rfam family: Bacterial small subunit ribosomal RNA
Source: RNAcentral